UGGCGUAGCCAAGUGGUAAGGCAGAAGUCUGCAAAACUUUUAUUCAUCGGUUCAAAUCCGAUCGCC
RNAcentral lists this transfer RNA (66 nucleotides) under fish gut metagenome. It matches the Rfam family "tRNA". Rfam says of the family: Transfer RNA (tRNA) molecules are approximately 80 nucleotides in length. Their secondary structure includes four short double-helical elements and three loops (D, anti-codon, and T loops). Further hydrogen bonds mediate the characteristic L-shaped molecular structure. tRNAs have two regions of fundamental functional importance: the anti-codon, which is responsible for specific mRNA codon recognition, and the 3' end, to which the tRNAs corresponding amino acid is attached (by aminoacyl-tRNA synthetases). tRNAs cope with the degeneracy of the genetic code in two manners: having more than one tRNA (with a specific anti-codon) for a particular amino acid; and 'wobble' base-pairing, i.e. permitting non-standard base-pairing at the 3rd anti-codon position. The record is from RNAcentral.